CCUACGGGUGGCAGCAGUGGGGAAUAUUGGACAAUGGGCGAAAGCCUGAUCCAGCCAUGCCGCGUGUGUGAAGAAGGCCUUCGGGUUGUAAAGCACUUUCAGUGGGGAAGAAAGCCUUGGGGCUAAUACCCUCGAGGAAGGACAUCACCCACAGAAGAAGCACCGGCUAACUCCGUGCCAGCAGCCGCGGUAAUACGGAGGGUGCGAGCGUUAAUCGGAAUUACUGGGCGUAAAGCGCGCGUAGGCGGUCUGAUAAGCCGGUUGUGAAAGCCCCGGGCUCAACCUGGGAACGGCAUCCGGAACUGUCAGGCUAGAGUGCAGGAGAGGAAGGGAGAAUUCCCGGUGUAGCGGUGAAAUGCGUAGAGAUCGGGAGGAAUACCAGUGGCGAAGGCGGCCUUCUGGACUGACACUGACGCUGAGGUGCGAAAGCGUGGGUAGCAAACAGGAUUAGAUACCCUAGUAGUC
Molecule: ribosomal RNA, 465 nt
Filed under: Vreelandella stevensii
Lineage: Bacteria; Pseudomonadati; Pseudomonadota; Gammaproteobacteria; Oceanospirillales; Halomonadaceae
Description: partial 16S ribosomal RNA
Rfam family: Bacterial small subunit ribosomal RNA
Source: RNAcentral